AAAAUCGACUAAUAAAUGUUUCAUAUAAAAAAAAAUUAAAUUAUAUUUUAGAAAAAGAUUAAAAACAAGAAAAUAAAAAUAAAAUAAUCAAAUUAGAAGUUUUUUUUAUUCUUUAUUCGCUUUUAAACAUUUUAUCAUUAUUACAACAUUGUUUUGCAUUAGCAAACUUUUAUCUGACAUCGUUUUUUAUUUAAUACCGUUUUUUAUUUAAUACCGUUUUUUAUCUGAUACCGUUUUUUAUCCGAUACUGUUUUUUAUCUGAUACUGUUUGAGUAUUAAGCCAUAUUCGAUUUGUUUUUUCUUUAUCCUUUAUAUAAUUCAAGCUCAUCUUUGACAUUGAUUACGUUUUGAUGUAUCUUUUUUGUUUUGAUAUAUUUUAAUAUGUUUUAUUAUAUUUAAAAAUAAAAAAAUCUUGUAUUAUGAAAAUAAAUAUAUAUUUGUAUUUUUUUUUAUAAGCAAGGCUAAUAUACUUACUAAAUGGAAGGUAAAAGUGAAGUAUCUAAAUUUAAUGAAAAUUUUAAUUCAUCAAAAAGAAGUACUAAUAUAAGUAGUAUUGUGUCUGAAAACCAAGAUUAUACAGAAACAAUUUAUAAUGUUAAUGAUGUUGAGUUGUUGUGUGAAGAGAACAAAACACGUCAUGAUGAACACAUAUACGCUUAUCCCGAACGUUUAGUUACCACUAUAAGUUACAUUUUUUGUAUAUUAGCAAUUAUAUGUGCGUGGGGAGUUGUCGAUUCGAUAGUUGACGUAAUAUCUGCAAAACAAGCUCAUAUUGCAUUAGCUUGCUACUCUAUAAUAUUCGGAAUAGCAAUCAUUGUUCUAACAUUAUACAUUUUAUUUAUUGAUAGAAGUUAUAGACCUUAUAAUUUUUUUUAAAAAGCAUUUUUUUUUUUUUUUUUUUAAAGAUCUUUUAAAAAAAAAAGAAAUUAAUUUACAUUAUUUUUGGUAUAUGCAUAUAUAGCUUUGAUGUCUACAUGUAUUAAUAUGACACAUACUAGUAUAAACGUUGAAUAUAUAUGUAUAAAUAUUUGUAUAUAUAUUUAUAUAUAUAUUUAUAUAUAUAUUUUUUUUUUUACUACUGAUUAAAAAAUAUAAAUAGACUAGGAGUGAAAAGAAAUAAACAAUAAAACUAGUUGCUUUUAAAAAACA
Molecule: long non-coding RNA, 1149 nt
Filed under: Piliocolobus tephrosceles (Ugandan red Colobus)
Lineage: Eukaryota; Metazoa; Chordata; Mammalia; Primates; Cercopithecidae
Description: lncRNA (ENSPTEG00000000190.1)
Source: RNAcentral